UUAACUCAAAUUUUGUAUGGAGUUGGAACGUUUGCCGCUAAGGCGCUGUUCCAACUGCACACAAAUAUGAGUUA
Molecule: microRNA precursor, 74 nt
Filed under: Bombyx mori (domestic silkworm)
Lineage: Eukaryota; Metazoa; Arthropoda; Insecta; Lepidoptera; Bombycidae
Description: mir-2807 microRNA precursor family
Rfam family: mir-2807 microRNA precursor family
Source: Rfam by way of RNAcentral